GAUGAACGCUGGCGGCGUGCCUAAUACAUGCAAGUCGAGCGAACGGACGAGAAGCUUGCUUCUCUGAUGUUAGCGGCGGACGGGUGAGUAACACGUGGAUAACCUACCUAUAAGACUGGGAUAACUUCGGGAAACCGGAGCUAAUACCGGAUAAUAUUUUGAACCGCAUGGUUCAAAAGUGAAAGACGGUCUUGCUGUCACUUAUAGAUGGAUCCGCGCUGCAUUAGCUAGUUGGUAAGGUAACGGCUUACCAAGGCAACGAUGCAUAGCCGACCUGAGAGGGUGAUCGGCCACACUGGAACUGAGACACGGUCCAGACUCCUACGGGAGGCAGCAGUAGGGAAUCUUCCGCAAUGGGCGAAAGCCUGACGGAGCAACGCCGCGUGAGUGAUGGAGGUCCUCGGAUCGUAAAACUCUGUUAUUAGGGAAGAACAUAUGUGUAAGUAACUGUGCACAUCUUGACGGUACCUAAUCAGAAAGCCACGGCUAACUACGUG
This 497-nucleotide ribosomal RNA is filed under the name uncultured bacterium. RNAcentral describes it as "partial 16S ribosomal RNA". It matches the Rfam family "Bacterial small subunit ribosomal RNA", at positions 28 to 507 of the family's 1533-position model. The record is from RNAcentral.